This 275-nucleotide ribosomal RNA is filed under the name uncultured bacterium. Its description in RNAcentral is "partial 16S ribosomal RNA". It matches the Rfam family "Bacterial small subunit ribosomal RNA", at positions 399 to 691 of the family's 1533-position model. The record is from RNAcentral.
GCGUGAGUGAAGAAGGCCUUAGGGUUGUAAAGCUCUUUCGGCGGGGACGAUGAUGACGGUACCCGCAGAAGAAGCCCCGGCUAACUCCGUGCCAGCAGCCGCGGUAAUACGGAGGGGGCUAGCGUUGUUCGGAAUUACUGGGCGUAAAGGGCGCGCAGGCGGCGGUUCAAGUCGGGCGUGAAAGGCCUGGGCUCAACCCGGGAAUGGCGCUCGAGACUGGACUGCUCGAGUCCGGGAGAGGAUGGUGGAAUUCCCAGUGUAGAGGUGAAAUUCGU